RNAcentral lists this ribosomal RNA (211 nucleotides) under uncultured bacterium. RNAcentral's name for it is "partial 16S ribosomal RNA". It matches the Rfam family "Bacterial small subunit ribosomal RNA", at positions 524 to 732 of the family's 1533-position model. The record is from RNAcentral.
UACAGAGGGUGCAAGCGUUGUUCGGAAUUAUUGGGCGUAAAGCGCGUGUAGGCGGCUUUGCAAGUCGGGUGUGAAAGCCCUCAGCUCAACUGAGGAAGUGCGCCCGAAACUGCCUUUCUUGAGUGCCGGAGAGGAAAGCGGAAUUCCUGGUGUAGAGGUGAAAUUCGUAGAUAUCGGGAGGGAACACCGAGUGGCGAAGGCGGCGACCUGG